This 480-nucleotide ribosomal RNA is filed under the name uncultured bacterium. Its description in RNAcentral is "bacterial SSU rRNA". It matches the Rfam family "Bacterial small subunit ribosomal RNA", at positions 30 to 504 of the family's 1533-position model. The record is from RNAcentral.
CGAACGCUGGCGGCGUGCUUAACACAUGCAAGUCUACGAGAACGAGGUAGCAAUAUCUUUAUUAAAGUGGCGCACGGGUGAGUAACACGUAAGUAACCUACCUUUAGAUUUGGAAUAACCCCGAGAAAUCGGGGCUAAUACUGAAUGAUGCAGCGGCACCACAUGGUGAUGUUGUUAAAGUCUAUAUGACGUCUAAAGAUGGGCUUGCGUCUGAUUAGCUAGUUGGUGAGGUAACGGCCCACCAAGGCUACGAUCAGUAGCUGGUCUGAGAGGAUGAUCAGCCACACUGGAACUGAGACACGGUCCAGACUCCUACGGGAGGCAGCAGUGAGGAAUAUUGGGCAAUGCCCGGAAGGGUGACCCAGCAACGCCGCGUGGAGGAUGAAUGUCGUAAGAUUGUAAACUCCUGUUAGAGGGGAAGAAUAAUUCCGAUUGAAUCGGAACUUGACUGUACCCUCAGAGAAAGCCCCGGCUAACUAC